This 1281-nucleotide long non-coding RNA is filed under the name Heterocephalus glaber (naked mole-rat). RNAcentral's name for it is "lncRNA (ENSHGLG00000050702.1)". Lineage: Eukaryota; Metazoa; Chordata; Mammalia; Rodentia; Bathyergidae. The record is from RNAcentral.
UGACCUUUCUCUGUCACUUCUCCGAGUUUUGAAAAACUCACAAUACUUUAAGGAACAAUACCUAGCCUUUCUGAUGACACAAUGAAUUCCUGUGCAUUCCAAUCUUAGAAUCUGUAGGGCAUGGAGACUGCUCUGUGGCACAACUAGAGAAGGAGAGUAAGAUGUGGGGGACAGUUGGAAGAGUGGUAAAGCAGUAGAGGCAGAAUGCUCAUUUUGGUAAUCAAGGAGCACCAAGGCAAAAAUUUGCUUUUCUGAGUUCACAUCACAUGUGUGAGUAAAGCUAACGAAAGGGGGGUGAGGUAUGUACAGCUGCAUUGGGAACAUGGCUAAUUCAAGGCAAACUCGUUUGGCUCAGAGGGAACAACCAGUUACUUCAGGCAAGCAGCAGAAGCCCACUUGUUAAUGAGCAGCUGGUUCCUGUUGAAUGCCAUCAGGAUGAUUCAGCCACCCACCAGGAACACCAGUAACAGCAAGUGCACGCACAGAAAUCUGCAAAACUUUCUUCUUUUGAUGCCAACACUAUUACUCUGGCAAAGUCAAAACCCUUUAUGGAUUUACCAGUUCAACUAAAUGUGACCUUGUUCCCCUCACAAAUACCAGCUCACUCUCAAAUAAACACAACUUCUGGCUGAUUAAAAUGCAACGUUCUUCCACAGUUGAGUGCACCCUGCAGUGAGUCCCUCCUCUGUGCUGUGUCUACAUUCUCUCCCUUUUUCAUUUUUUCACUGUUCAAUGAAACUUCAAAGGAUGAAUGAGAUCCAUAUACACUCAGAGUCCACCUUGUAUGUUGUCCUGCUUACUGCUGACCACAUGCAUUUAAAGUUAUGCCUCAAGUUGUUUUAUUGUUUCUAUUUUUAAGAAGUUUUCCAUUUCCACAGAAUGUGGUAAUAUGCCUUGAAAAACAGAAAUGUGUAGAUAAACUGUGCUGACCACAGACUUCAUUAAUACAUGAUUUCCAUGCCAUACUCUAGCCAGUUAAAAAUUCUAUACCUUCCUCCUUCAAAUCUAGACCAGAUUACAGACUUAAAGGAAGAAAAUGCCAAAGAUGACAGCUAGCUAUCAAAAAUGUUCUAGUGCCUCAUUUUCAGGUCUCCAAAGUAAAAUCUAAGGGCAUUCGACAAAGAUUCAGGUGCUCUCAAUAGCCAUGAAAAUAUAUGGCUGAAGAGGGAAUCUGUAAAUGUAAUGAAUACACAAUUGGCUUAUAACAGAUGCAACCAAAAUUAAAUUCAAGAUCUUGACCUACUCUUCAAAGUGAAAGUUUUUAGUUCAUGCUACAGAGAG